UGGAUCCGUCUUUUCUGAACCUCCCGGGGUUGGGUUCAUUUUGAUGGUUGCCUGUGUGGCUCUAUCAUCCUGUGGGAAUGCAACUAACUCGUCCCGUUACGGGAAGUGCUUAUGCUAUAGCGCUCCGAUGUUUUGCCGUCUGAUAAACGGCGGCAGAAGUGGCUGAGGCGGAUCCUUGCGUUGCUGUGGGAUGUCCCACCAACGCUUAAGGAUGUCGCUUGCUCUCAUGUAUGCUGUGUGCUAUGAGCGAUCUGUUGGCCGCUGGCCCGCAGUUUGCUCGAAGGAGGUAUCGUGUGCUAGCUCAUUUGCUCUGCUCCUCCGCUCUCCUGUUGCUUGUCUCGGGAUGUUGUGACGGGGCAGAGCUGCUUGCGGAGCGUGAUACGGUGCACGUGAGAUUUUCUCUCUGUUCGCUCGAGCGAUAGCCGCCGCACAUCAUGUGCGCGACCUCCCAUAGCGGGGGUUGCUGAAAUGAUGUGCCGGCUCUUGCUUAGGGCGUGCUACCUGG
RNAcentral lists this unclassified non-coding RNA (505 nucleotides) under Didymiandrum stellatum. RNAcentral describes it as "partial external transcribed spacer". The record is from RNAcentral. Lineage: Eukaryota; Viridiplantae; Streptophyta; Magnoliopsida; Poales; Cyperaceae.